CUUAAAUUGAAGAGUUUGAUCAUGGCUCAGAUUGAACGCUGGCGGCAGGCCUAACACAUGCAAGUCGAGCGGAAACGAGUUAUCUGAACCUUCGGGGAACGAUAGCGGCGUCGAGCGGCGGACGGGUGAGUAAUGCCUAGGAAAUUGCCCUGAUGUGGGGGAUAACCAUUGGAAACGAUGGCUAAUACCGCAUGAUGCCUACGGGCCAAAGAGGGGGACCUUCGGGCCUCUCGCGUCAGGAUAUGCCUAGGUGGGAUUAGCUAGUUGGUGAGGUAAGGGCUCACCAAGGCGACGAUCCCUAGCUGGUCUGAGAGGAUGAUCAGCCACACUGGAACUGAGACACGGUCCAGACUCCUACGGGAGGCAGCAGUGGGGAAUAUUGCACAAUGGGCGCAAGCCUGAUGCAGCCAUGCCGCGUGUGUGAAGAAGGCCUUCGGGUUGUAAAGCACUUUCAGUCGUGAGGAAGGUAGUGUAGUUAAUAGCUGCAUUAUUUGACGUUAGCGACAGAAGAAGCACCGGCUGCUGGCACGGAGUUAGCCGGUGCUCUAACGCGUUAAGUAGACCGCCUGGGGAGUACGGUCGCAAGAUUAAAACUCAAAUGAAUUGACGGGGGCCCGCACAAGCGGUGGAGCAUGUGGUUUAAUUCGAUGCAACGCGAAGAACCUUACCUACUCUUGACAUCCAGAGAACUUUCCAGAGAUGGAUUGGUGCCUUCGGGAACUCUGAGACAGGUGCUGCAUGGCUGUCGUCAGCUCGUGUUGUGAAAUGUUGGGUUAAGUCCCGCAACGAGCGCAACCCUUAUCCUUGUUUGCCAGCGAGUAAUGUCGGGAACUCCAGGGAGACUGCCGGUGAUAAACCGGAGGAAGGUGGGGACGACGUCAAGUCAUCAUGGCCCUUACGAGUAGGGCUACACACGUGCUACAAUGGCGCAUACAGAGGGCAGCCAACUUGCGAAAGUGAGCGAAUCCCAAAAAGUGCGUCGUAGUCCGGAUUGGAGUCUGCAACUCGACUCCAUGAAGUCGGAAUCGCUAGUAAUCGUGGAUCAGAAUGCCACGGUGAAUACGUUCCCGGGCCUUGUACACACCGCCCGUCACACCAUGGGAGUGGGCUGCAAAAGAAGUAGGUAGUUUAACCUUCGGGGGGACGCUUACCACUUUGUGGUUCAUGACUGGGGUGAAGUCGUAACAAGGUAGCGCUAGGGGAACCUGGCGCUGGAUCACCUCCUUAAACGAUGAU
This 1236-nucleotide ribosomal RNA is filed under the name Vibrio parahaemolyticus. Its description in RNAcentral is "16S ribosomal RNA". It matches the Rfam family "Bacterial small subunit ribosomal RNA". Lineage: Bacteria; Pseudomonadati; Pseudomonadota; Gammaproteobacteria; Vibrionales; Vibrionaceae. The record is from RNAcentral.